AUGUCUCUCUCCAGGACAAUGUUAACCUCUUCCACGGUGGAGUGGGGCUAUGUGAUUUUGUGCUUAAUUUACCUAGCUGGUGGGCCUCCAGUAGAGGCUGAACCAGUCGAGCCAGCUGAUACCACAUCAAUUCUCCAAAGCUUAUCUUCAUUUGCCUGGCUUGCUCUGCCACCUCUGUGA
Long non-coding RNA from Pan paniscus (pygmy chimpanzee), 180 nucleotides. Lineage: Eukaryota; Metazoa; Chordata; Mammalia; Primates; Hominidae. The record is from Ensembl.